This 466-nucleotide ribosomal RNA is filed under the name uncultured bacterium. RNAcentral's name for it is "partial 16S ribosomal RNA". It matches the Rfam family "Bacterial small subunit ribosomal RNA", at positions 28 to 507 of the family's 1533-position model. The record is from RNAcentral.
GACGAACGCUGGCGGCGUGCUUAACACAUGCAAGUCGAACGGAAAGGCCCUGCUUGCAGGGUACUCGAGUGGCGAACGGGUGAGUAACACGUGGGUGAUCUGCCCUGCACUUCGGGAUAAGCUUGGGAAACUGGGUCUAAUACCGGAUAGGAGCCAUCUUUAGUGUGGUUGUUGGAAAGUUUUUUCGGUGUAGGAUGAGCUCGCGGCCUAUCAGCUUGUUGGUGGGGUAAUGGCCUACCAAGGCGGCGACGGGUAGCCGGCCUGAGAGGGUGUACGGCCACAUUGGGACUGAGAUACGGCCCAGACUCCUACGGGAGGCAGCAGUGGGGAAUAUUGCACAAUGGGCGCAAGCCUGAUGCAGCGACGCCGCGUGGGGGAUGAAGGCCUUCGGGUUGUAAACUCCUUUCGCUAGGGACGAAGCUUUGUUGUGACGGUACCUAGAUAAGAAGCACCGGCUAACUACGUG